GUCGAGAAUCUUUCGCAAUGGGCGCAAGCCUGACGAAGCGACGCCGCGUGGGUGAUGAAGGUCUUCGGAUCGUAAAACCCUGUCGCGAGGGAAGAAAUGCCCAGGCGUUAACAGCGCCUGGGUUUGACGGUACCUCGAGAGGAAGCUCCGGCUAACUCUGUGCCAGCAGCCGCGGUAAUACAGAGGGAGCAAGCGUUGUUCGGAUUUAUUGGGCGUAAAGGGUGUCUAGGCGGCAAGGCCAGUCGAAUGUGAAAUCCCCCGGCUUAACCGAGGAAUUGCAUUCGAAACUACCUUGCUUGAGUAUGGCAGACGUGAGCGGAAUUCUCAGUGUAGCGGUGGAAUGCGUAGAUAUUGAGAAGAACACCAGUGGCAUAGGCGGCUCACGAGGCUAAUACUGACGCUGAAGCACGAAAGCCAGGGGAGCGAACGGGAUUAGAAACCCCAGUAGUCC
Molecule: ribosomal RNA, 451 nt
Filed under: uncultured bacterium
Lineage: Bacteria
Description: bacterial SSU rRNA
Rfam family: Bacterial small subunit ribosomal RNA
Source: RNAcentral